This 1438-nucleotide ribosomal RNA is filed under the name uncultured organism. RNAcentral's name for it is "SSU rRNA". It matches the Rfam family "Bacterial small subunit ribosomal RNA". The record is from RNAcentral.
AGGAGCGCUAGCUACAGGCUUAACACAUGCAAGUCGCCUUGCAGCAUGGUCUUAGCUUGCUAAGACUGAUGGCGACCGGCGCACGGGUGAGUAACACGUAUCCAACCUGCCGUCUACUCUUGGACAGCCUUCUGAAAGGAAGAUUAAUACAAGAUGGCAUCAUGAGUCCGCAUGUUCACAUGAUUAAAGGUAUUCCGGUAGACGAUGGGGAUGCGUUCCAUUAGAUAGUAGGCGGGGUAACGGCCCACCUAGUCUUCGAUGGAUAGGGGUUCUGAGAGGAAGGUCCCCCACAUUGGAACUGAGACACGGUCCAAACUCCUACGGGAGGCAGCAGUGAGGAAUAUUGGUCAAUGGGCGAGAGCCUGAACCAGCCAAGUAGCGUGAAGGAUGACUGCCCUAUGGGUUGUAAACUUCUUUUAUAAAGGAAUAAAGUCGGGUAUGCAUACCCGUUUGCAUGUACUUUAUGAAUAAGGAUCGGCUAACUCCGUGCCAGCAGCCGCGGUAAUACGGAGGAUCCGAGCGUUAUCCGGAUUUAUUGGGUUUAAAGGGAGCGUACAUGGAUGUUUAAGUCAGUUGUGAAAGUUUGCGGCUCAACCGUAAAAUGGCAGUUGAUACUGGAUAUCUUGAGUGCAGUUGAGGCAGGCGGAAUUCGUGGUGUAGCGGUGAAAUGCUUAGAUAUCACGAAGAACUCCGAUUGCGAAGGCAGCCUGCUAAGCUGCAACUGACAUUGAGGCUCGAAAGUGUGGGUAUCAAACAGGAUUAGAUACCCUGGUAGUCCACACGGUAAACGAUGAAUACUCGCUGUUUGCGAUAUACUGCAAGCGGCCAAGCGAAAGCGUUAAGUAUUCCACCUGGGGAGUACGCCGGCAACGGUGAAACUCAAAGGAAUUGACGGGGGCCCGCACAAGCGGAGGAACAUGUGGUUUAAUUCGAUGAUACGCGAGGAACCUUACCCGGGCUUAAAUUGCAGAUGAAUUACGGUGAAAGCCGUAAGCCGCAAGGCAUCUGUGAAGGUGCUGCAUGGUUGUCGUCAGCUCGUGCCGUGAGGUGUCGGCUUAAGUGCCAUAACGAGCGCAACCCUUGUUGUCAGUUACUAACAGGUUCCGCUGAGGACUCUGACAAGACUGCCAUCGUAAGAUGUGAGGAAGGUGGGGAUGACGUCAAAUCAGCACGGCCCUUACGUCCGGGGCUACACACGUGUUACAAUGGGGGGUACAGAGGGCCGCUACCACGCGAGUGGAUGCCAAUCCCCAAAACCUCUCUCAGUUCGGACUGGAGUCUGCAACCCGACUCCACGAAGCUGGAUUCGCUAGUAAUCGCGCAUCAGCCACGGCGCGGUGAAUACGUUCCCGGGCCUUGUACACACCGCCCGUCAAGCCAUGGGAGCCGGGGGUACCUGAAGUGCGUAACCGCGAGGAGCGCCCUAGGGUAAAACUGG